UUUCCGUAGGUGAACCUGCGGAAGGAUCAUUAUUGAAUAUUCUUGAUGGGUUGUAGCUGGCUCUUCGGGGCAUGUGCACACUUGUCUUGACUCUAUUCAUCCACCUGUGCACCUCUUGUAGUCUUGGGGGUUGAGAUAAGUCGACUAUCGGAUGGCUUUAUAGCCUUUCGGACGUGAGGAAUGCUGAGUGCGAAAGCAUACAGCUCUUCUCAAAUGACUUGUAAAACCUCUCCCUCGAGUACUAUGUAUUCAUAUACCACAUAGUAUGUUGUAGAAUGUGAUCAAUGGGCCUAUGUGCCUAUAAUAAUCAUAUACAACUUUCAGCAACGGAUCUCUUGGCUCUC
This 344-nucleotide unclassified non-coding RNA is filed under the name plant metagenome. RNAcentral's name for it is "partial contains small subunit ribosomal RNA, internal transcribed spacer 1, and 5.8S ribosomal RNA". The record is from RNAcentral.